UCUUCCUGUACAGAUGUUGGAGCCCAGCUGUCUCCAUCACAAACUCUGCAGACUCCACAAAGUUCAGUUUGAGGAUCACAGAGUGUUUUUGGUUAGAACAUGAUGCUCUUCAUUCCAGUGCUGCUCCUUCAUGUAUUCACUGGUGUCAGCAGUGAAGAACUCACUCCAGUCAACAAUGAAGAGUACAGUUUGGUAGAAAACACUGUUUCUUUGUCCUACAAGGCCUCAAAAGUGUCACCAGGAGAAUACUUCUUCUGGUAUCGACAACAUCCAGGAAAAUCUCCACAGCUUCUCAUCUCACACUCCAGUUCAGGAACAAUUGGAACGAAUGAAGAUGCCAGACUGAAGAUUCAAGUGGAGGGAAACCAAAUCACAAUGGAGAUCUCCUCUGCUGCACUGACAGACUCUGCUGUGUACUACUGUGCUGUGAGGCCCACAGUGACAGGAAACAGUAAAACUCUGUACAAAAACCUUUGGAGCAAAGACAACAGAAAACUCCACAACAUCCACUAGAGGGAGACACACUCUGUUACACUUGUAUGAUCUGACUCUUUACCAUCAUCAUCUCCAUCUUUGUCUUCUCUGCACUGUAGUCAGACAUGGAUAAGAUCUCUGUGAAUUUCCUCCUCUGAGGUUUCUGUCAUUGUUCUCACAUGUUGACAUAGAGACAGUUUAUCUAAAUUUCUGCUUCUUGAUGCUGCUGGACUGUGAAACCCACUAAGUCACUGGAUGUUAUAUGAUACUGUACUAAUAAACCAGACUUGAGCUCA
Acanthochromis polyacanthus (spiny chromis) is the source of this 770-nucleotide long non-coding RNA. RefSeq lists it as uncharacterized. The transcript has 2 exons. The record is from RefSeq and is a predicted model, not a curated record. Lineage: Eukaryota; Metazoa; Chordata; Actinopteri; Pomacentridae.